AACUGAUUAGUCUAAAAAAGACAAUUGUUUUGAAAACAAUUAAUGGAUAUUAACACAACCAUCAGUUU
Molecule: transfer RNA, 68 nt
Filed under: Hemicaecilius mockfordi
Lineage: Eukaryota; Metazoa; Arthropoda; Insecta; Psocodea; Sphaeropsocidae
Description: tRNA-Ser
Source: RNAcentral